UCACCCUCUGUAUAAGUUUAGCCAAGAGUGGACAAUCAGCUCCCAACAAACUUAUUUAGCUAGUUAAAAAGGAACCAGUGGGGCCCAAAGCUUAGAGGGCUGCGUCUAUACUCAAAGAAUAUAGAUUAUUGGUACGUAACUACAGUUCUAUUUUGUACAGGCUUCGCCCGCCAAGGCUAUCGCUAUUGGGAUAAGGAUGGAGUAGGAUGUGGUCCACGCUGCACUGGCUCUGUCCGAUUCUCUUGAAAAUAACCAGGUUGAUUCUCCUGCUUUUGUACCUGAUGAAUCUGGAAUUGAAGGUUGAUUCUCCUGCUGCUGUUGUCCCAGAUGAAUCUGAAAAUGAAGGAGAAGGAGUUGAAGAGGACUCCUGUCACAGGAGGAAGAAUCAAGAGCCUAGUUUGAAGGAGGCAAGACAAAUAGGAAUGCCAUGCCAAUCUGUGGCCUGCCAAAAGUCCACUAAACUGCACUGCAGAGAACUAGAAGAAUUGAAGAGGGAGGAGAUCUUUAAAUAUUUCUGGGGGAAAUUGUACUGGAAAGAGAGGAACUUUUUAUGAAAUCUUUGGUGGAGAUGAGCAGUGUAAAGCGGCGGCAGACGAAUCCAGGAGGUCAGCAUGCAUUUUUUGUUACCUUGUAGUGAGAGUGGGAGAAGAAUCAGAGUGUGCCUGUUAACAUGUUCCUGUUAACACUAGGCAUAAAGCAGUGGUGUUUUUUUGAAGUGGGUAGGAAGAAGAGGGAAAACUCCUGAGAAGACAGAGAGUGAAGGUGAGGACAGAAGAGCAAGAUUUCCUUAAGACCUUCCUUCUGGACCUUCCAAAACUUCCAUCUCACUACUGUAGGUCCUCUUCGUCAAAGAUGUACCUGGAGCCUGUGUUCAACUCCAUCAGUCACCUCCACACAGAGUAUAAGCGCUUUAGUGCAGAACAUGGCAUCCUGCCUCCGUCAAGGCAUGUUUUCGCCAACAUUUCUUUUUCAACCAGACCAGCGUGAUACCUGCUAUGCAUUCAAGGCUGGGAACAUCGAAGCUGCCACAUGGGAAGAGCACUGCUUUAAAAAAGACACUGCACAAGCUAUGAAGCUAUGAAGAAGGACAAAGAAGAGGCAGAAACAACGUGGACGGCACUAUGGAGUACAAGAUUCUCCACUCAGACGACUGGGAACCCUAGUCAUUCUCAUCUCUCAGGAAGAAGAGAAGUGUCACCAGAGUGUCCCCACUGCACACUUCCAGCCAGAAAAUUAAAG
Molecule: long non-coding RNA, 1239 nt
Organism: Siniperca chuatsi (mandarin fish)
Lineage: Eukaryota; Metazoa; Chordata; Actinopteri; Centrarchiformes; Sinipercidae
Exons: 5
Source: RefSeq, a predicted model, not a curated record